RNAcentral lists this ribosomal RNA (356 nucleotides) under uncultured bacterium. RNAcentral's name for it is "partial 16S ribosomal RNA". It matches the Rfam family "Bacterial small subunit ribosomal RNA", at positions 338 to 710 of the family's 1533-position model. The record is from RNAcentral.
CCUACGGGUGGCAGCAGUGGGGGAUAUUGCACAAUGGGGGGAACCCUGAUGCAGCGACGCCGCGUGGGUGAAGGAGUGCUUCGGCAUGUAAAGUCCUAUCGGCAGGGAGGAAGCAAGUCGGUACCUGACUAUGAAGCUCCGGCUAACACGGUGCCAGCAGCCGCGGCAAAUCGGGGGGGGCGAGCGUUAUCCGGAUGCACGGGGGGUAAAGGGAGCGUAGACGGCGAAGCAAGCCAGGGGUGAAAUCCCGGGGCCCAACCCCGGGACCGCCCGUGAAACUGCAUGGCGUGAGUGCGGGAGGGGCAAGCGGAAUUCCUGGUGUAGGGGUGAAAUGCGUAGAUAUCAGGAGGAACACC